RNAcentral lists this ribosomal RNA (253 nucleotides) under uncultured bacterium. RNAcentral describes it as "partial 16S ribosomal RNA". It matches the Rfam family "Bacterial small subunit ribosomal RNA", at positions 524 to 776 of the family's 1533-position model. The record is from RNAcentral.
UACGAAGGGUGCAAGCGUUAAUCGGAAUUACUGGGCGUAAAGCGUGCGUAGGCGGUUUCUUAAGUCUGCUGUGAAAUCCCCGGGCUCAACCUGGGAAUGGCAGUGGAUACUGGGAAGCUAGAGUGUGAGAGAGGAUGGUGGAAUUCCCGGUGUAGCGGUGAAAUGCGUAGAGAUCGGGAGGAACAUCAGUGGCGAAGGCGGCCAUCUGGCUCAACACUGACGCUGAGGCACGAAAGCGUGGGGAGCAAACAGG